Molecule: ribosomal RNA, 407 nt
Filed under: uncultured bacterium
Lineage: Bacteria
Description: bacterial SSU rRNA
Rfam family: Bacterial small subunit ribosomal RNA
Source: RNAcentral
UCGAGAAUCUUCCGCAAUGGGCGAAAGCCUGACGGAGCGACGUCGCGUGAUUGAUGAAGUCCUUCGGGAUGUAAAGAUCUUUUGUGAGGGAGAAAGUAAUUGAUAGUACCUCAAGAAUAAGGGGUUGCUAAACUCGUGCCAGCAGCAGCGGUAAUACGAGUGCCCCAAGCGUUAUCCGGAAUUAUUGGGUGUAAAGGGUUCGUAGGUGGUCUUAUUAGUCUUAUGUUAAAGCCUGGAGCUUAACUCCAGAAGUGCGUAGGAAACGGUAAGACUAGAGGGUGUGAGAGGUCUGUGGAACUCAUGGUGUAGGGGUGAAAUCCGUUGAUAUCAUGGGGAACACCAAAAGCGAAGGCAGCAGACUGGCACAUUCCUGACACUGAGGAACGAAAGCGUGGGUAGCGAAUGGG